UUACGGUCAUAUCAUGUUGAAAGACUGGUUCCUGUAUGAUCACUGAAGUUAAGCAAUGUUGGGCCUGGGCACUACCUAGAUGGGUGACUUUUUGGGAAUACUAAGUGCUGUAAG
This is a non-coding RNA of Acanthosepion pharaonis, 114 nucleotides long. Lineage: Eukaryota; Metazoa; Mollusca; Cephalopoda; Sepiida; Sepiidae. The record is from the annotation of a GenBank genome assembly.